RNAcentral lists this ribosomal RNA (1234 nucleotides) under metagenome. Its description in RNAcentral is "bacterial LSU rRNA". It matches the Rfam family "Bacterial large subunit ribosomal RNA", at positions 1689 to 2925 of the family's 2925-position model. The record is from RNAcentral.
UUAGAGAGAACUCUCGUUAAGGAACUAGGCAAGCUGACCCCGUAACUACGGGAGAAGGGGUGCCCUGCUCGGGAAGGACUGUAACGUCCGACUUUGGUGGGGUCGCAGUGACAGGGCUCGAGCGACUGUUUAACAAAAACACAGGUCUCUGCUAAGUCGAAAGACGCAGUAUAGGGGCUGACGCCUGCCCAACGCCAGAAGGUUAAAGGGAGAGGUCAGGGUGGGAAAACCCGCUUAAAGCUUUGAACUGAAGCCCUGGUGAGUGGCGGCCGUAACUAUAACGGUCCUAAGGUAGCGAAAUUCCUUGUCGGGUAAGUACCGACCUGCACGAAUGGCGUAACGACUUGAGCGCUGUCUCAACGAGAGACUCGGUGAAAUUGUAGCACCUGUGAAGAUGCAGGUUACCCACGAUAGGACGGAAAGACCCCGUGGAGCUUUACUACACCCUGCUAUUGUGUUCUCUGCUGGUCUGUAGAGCGUAGGUGGGAGAGGGAAACCUCGCCAAUGGAACACCACCCUGGCCAGUGGGGAGCACUAACCGGAACUAGACAUUCCGAGACCGUAGCAGGCGGGUAGUUUGACUGGGGCGGUCGCCUCCCAAACAGUAACGGAGGCGUCCAAAGGUUCCCUCAGCCUGGUUAGAAAUCAGGCAUGUGAGUAUAAGGGCAUAAGGGAGCUUGACGGUGAGACCAACAAGUCGAGCCGGGACGAAAGUCGGGCCUAGUGACCCUCUGGUGGUAUGUGGAAACGCCAGGGCUUAACGGAUAAAAGUUACCCCGGGGAUAACAGGCUUAUCUUGCCCAAGCGCUCACAGCGACGGCAAGGUUUGGCACCUCGAUGUCGGCUCGUCGCAUCCUGGGGCUGGAUUGGGUCCCAAGGGUUAGGCUGUUCGCCUGUUAAAGCGGUACGCGAGCUGGGUUCAGAACGUCGUGAGACAGUUCGGUCCCUAUCCAUCGUGGGCGGAAGAGUGUUGAGAGGAGCUGCUCCUAGUACGAGAGGACCGGAGUGGACUGACCGCUGGUGUACCAGUUGUCCCGCCAGGGGCAGAAGCUGGGUAGCUAUGUCGGGAAGGGAUAAGCGCUGAAAGCAUCUAAGCGCGAAGCUCGCCUCAAGAUGAGCACUCUCACUCGGUUAGCGAGGUAAGGCCCGUGGUAGAGAAUCACGUAGAUAGGCUGGACCUGUAAGCUCCGCAAGGGGUUAAGGGCACCAGUACUAAUCGGCCGAGGGCUUGAUC